Molecule: transfer RNA, 71 nt
Filed under: Marmota monax (woodchuck)
Lineage: Eukaryota; Metazoa; Chordata; Mammalia; Rodentia; Sciuridae
Description: tRNA.Ala
Source: RNAcentral
GAUGCUGUAGUUCAGUGGCAGAAUACUUGCCUGGCACGUGUGAGGAACUGGGUUUGAUCCUCAGCACCACG